RNAcentral lists this ribosomal RNA (428 nucleotides) under uncultured bacterium. Its description in RNAcentral is "partial 16S ribosomal RNA". It matches the Rfam family "Bacterial small subunit ribosomal RNA", at positions 354 to 796 of the family's 1533-position model. The record is from RNAcentral.
GUAGGGAAUAUUGGACAAUGGGGGCAACCCUGAUCCAGCGACGCCGCGUGAGUGAUGAAGGCCUUCGGGUCGUAAAGCUCUGUUGCAGGGGAAGAACACAAUGACGGUACCCUGCUAGAAAGGAUCGGCUAACUUCGUGCCAGCAGCCGCGGUAAGACGAGGGAUCCUAGCGUUGUUCGGAAUUAUUGGGCGUAAAGCGGGUGCAGGUGGCUUGGUAAGUCAGAUGUGAAAGCCUGGGGCUUAACCCCAGAAGCGCAUUUGAUACUGCUGAGCUUGAGUGCUGGAGAGGCUAUUAGAAUUCCUGGUGUAGUGGUGAAAUACGUAGAUAUCAGGAGGAAUACCGGAGGCGAAGGCGGAUAGCUGGCCAGACACUGACACUCAGACCCGAAAGCGUGGGGAUCAAACAGGAUUAGAAACCCUUGUAGUCC